CACUCCUGCGGGAGGCAGCAGUGGGGAAUAUUGGACAAUGGGCGCAAGCCUGAUCCAGCCAUGCCGCGUGAGUGAUGAAGGCCCUAGGGUUGUAAAGCUCUUUCACCGGUGAAGAUAAUGACGGUAACCGGAGAAGAAGCCCCGGCUAACUUCGUACCAGCAGCCGCGGUAAUACGAAGGGGGCUAGCGUUGUUCGGAUUUACUGGGCGUAAAGCGCACGUAGGCGGACUAUUAAGUCAGGGGUGAAAUCCCGGGGCUCAACCCCGGAACUGCCUUUGAUACUGGUAGUCUUGAGUUCGAGAGAGGUGAGUGGAAUUCCGAGUGUAGAGGUGAAAUUCGUAGAUAUUCGGAGGAACACCAGUGGCGAAGGCGGCUCACUGGCUCGAUACUGACGCUGAGGUGCGAAAGCGUGGGGAGCAAACAGGAUUAGAAACCCCAGUAGUCCCAUGA
This 450-nucleotide ribosomal RNA is filed under the name uncultured organism. Its description in RNAcentral is "partial 16S ribosomal RNA". It matches the Rfam family "Bacterial small subunit ribosomal RNA", at positions 334 to 800 of the family's 1533-position model. The record is from RNAcentral.